GCCCCUGUAGCUCAGUGGACAGAGCAGCUGCCUUCUAAGCAGACGGUCGGGGGUUCGAUCCCCUCCAGGGGUG
This 73-nucleotide transfer RNA is filed under the name Chloroflexota bacterium. RNAcentral describes it as "Chloroflexi bacterium tRNA-Arg". It matches the Rfam family "tRNA". Rfam says of the family: Transfer RNA (tRNA) molecules are approximately 80 nucleotides in length. Their secondary structure includes four short double-helical elements and three loops (D, anti-codon, and T loops). The record is from RNAcentral. Lineage: Bacteria; Bacillati; Chloroflexota.